UACGAAGGGGGCUAGCGUUGUUCGGAAUUACUGGGCGUAAAGGGCGCGUAGGCGGAUAGUUUAGUCAGAGGUAAAAGCCCAGGGCUCAACCUUGGAACUGCCUUUGAUACUGGCUAUCUUGAGUACGGGAGAGGUGUGUGGAACUCCGAGUGUAGAGGUGAAAUUCGUAGAUAUUCGGAAGAACACCAGUGGCGAAGGCGACACACUGGCCCGUUACUGACGCUGAGGCGCGAAAGCGUGGGGAGCAAACAGG
RNAcentral lists this ribosomal RNA (253 nucleotides) under uncultured bacterium. Its description in RNAcentral is "partial 16S ribosomal RNA". It matches the Rfam family "Bacterial small subunit ribosomal RNA", at positions 524 to 776 of the family's 1533-position model. The record is from RNAcentral.